AGGUAUGUUAACCCUCUCGUCUCAAAGCUUAAAUAUUUAAAGAAUGAACACAUUUAAAUGUAGUCUUCAACACUAUGGUGAAAGUCAUCGCCGACUUGAGAUGAAGCUCCAAGAAUUCUCUAGAAAAUUGGUGAUGAUUUCUUGCUAAUCAAAUUCCUCAAUCCAUAAGAAUUCCUAGAAGAAACUGGACAAAUUAUUGAAAGGCUGUCCACCGCCGGCCAUUUAUGACAAAUUCUGGACAAUAUGGCAGGCUGCUGAUUUUAUUUACAUAAUAGAAUUAUUUAGAAUUGUAAGCCACCGAUAUACACUAUUAUAAAUAUGUUCCAGCACCUCAUUUUGAGUCAUAGAGUGAACUGAGAGUGGAGAAGACAAAACAGAGAGAUAAAGAGAGAGAGAAAAAGAGAGAGCAUUGCAUAUUAGUGGUGUGUGUAACAGCACCUCAUUUUGAGUCAUAGAGUGAAUUGAGAGUGGAGAAGACAAAACAGAGAGAUAAAGAGAGAGAGCAUUGCAUAUUAGUGGUGUGUGUAAGGUGAUAAAGAAUUGAGAUAAAGUGGAGAUAUAGAUACAGCUGUGUGUAUGUGUUUUGUUGGAGAGAGAAAUUUUCAUUUGCUAGAUAGUGGUCCUUGUUGAGUGAGUAUCCAAAAUUGUAAAAUUCCAUUUCAUAAAUAAACUUCUACUGUGGGUGUUUAAACUCUACAUAUGGGACAUGCAAUUUAACUAUUGACAGGUA
RNAcentral lists this long non-coding RNA (730 nucleotides) under Olea europaea (common olive). Its description in RNAcentral is "long non-coding RNA (OEUR_LNC011044)". Lineage: Eukaryota; Viridiplantae; Streptophyta; Magnoliopsida; Lamiales; Oleaceae. The record is from RNAcentral.